Molecule: ribosomal RNA, 431 nt
Filed under: uncultured bacterium
Lineage: Bacteria
Description: partial 16S ribosomal RNA
Rfam family: Bacterial small subunit ribosomal RNA
Source: RNAcentral
CCUACGGGAGGCUGCAGUAGGGAAUUUUGCACAAUGGGCGCAAGCCUGAUGCAGCAAUGCCGCGUGAGUGAAGAAGGCUCUUGGGUUGUAAAGCUCUUUCGGCCAAGAAGCGGUAUUGGAAGAAGAAGCACCUGCUAACUUCGUGCCAGCAGCAGCGGUAAUACGAAGGGUGCAAGCGUUGUUCGGAAUUACUGGGCGUAAAGCGCGCGUAGGCGGGUCUAUAAGUAGAUUGUGAAAUCCCUGGGCUCAACCCGGGACGUGCAGUCUAAACUGUAGAUCUUGAAUGUCUGAGAGGAUGGCGGAAUUCCCGGUGUAGUAGUGAAAUACGUAGAUAUCGGGAAGAACACCUGAGGCGAAGGCGGCUAUCUGGCGGAAAUGACGCUAAGGCGCGAAAGCGUGGGGAGCAAACAGGAUUAGAUACCCUUGUAGUC